Molecule: ribosomal RNA, 613 nt
Filed under: Escherichia coli
Lineage: Bacteria; Pseudomonadati; Pseudomonadota; Gammaproteobacteria; Enterobacterales; Enterobacteriaceae
Description: partial 23S ribosomal RNA
Rfam family: Bacterial large subunit ribosomal RNA
Source: RNAcentral
GUGUGGACGCCAGUCUGCAUGGAGCCGACCUUGAAAUACCACCCUUUAAUGUUUGAUGUUCUAACGUUGACCCGUAAUCCGGGUUGCGGACAGUGUCUGGUGGGUAGUUUGACUGGGGCGGUCUCCUCCUAAAGAGUAACGGAGGAGCACGAAGGUUGGCUAAUCCUGGUCGGACAUCAGGAGGUUAGUGCAAUGGCAUAAGCCAGCUUGACUGCGAGCGUGACGGCGCGAGCAGGUGCGAAAGCAGGUCAUAGUGAUCCGGUGGUUCUGAAUGGAAGGGCCAUCGCUCAACGGAUAAAAGGUACUCCGGGGAUAACAGGCUGAUACCGCCCAAGAGUUCAUAUCGACGGCGGUGUUUGGCACCUCGAUGUCGGCUCAUCACAUCCUGGGGCUGAAGUAGGUCCCAAGGGUAUGGCUGUUCGCCAUUUAAAGUGGUACGCGAGCUGGGUUUAGAACGUCGUGAGACAGUUCGGUCCCUAUCUGCCGUGGGCGCUGGAGAACUGAGGGGGGCUGCUCCUAGUACGAGAGGACCGGAGUGGACGCAUCACUGGUGUUCGGGUUGUCAUGCCAAUGGCACUGCCCGGUAGCUAAAUGCGGAAGAGAUAAGUGCUGA